Molecule: long non-coding RNA, 1802 nt
Filed under: Heterocephalus glaber (naked mole-rat)
Lineage: Eukaryota; Metazoa; Chordata; Mammalia; Rodentia; Bathyergidae
Description: lncRNA (ENSHGLG00000029491.2)
Source: RNAcentral
AGGGAAGAGCGGAAUGCAUGAGCCCUGAGCUCUUUGCCAUGUGCAACUCGUCCCUUGAGAUACACCACCUCUCUCCACCCAUCUUGACAGCCAAAAAAACAUCUCCAGACAUUGCUAAAUGUCUCCUGUGGUGCAAAACUCACCACCAUUUGAGAAGCCCUAGAAGAAGUAAGGAGGUGGUCCCAGUCUGAGAGAUUCCCUCCAAUGACACAUUUUGGGGGAGCUGGCAGUGAGCUAUCCAGGUGCAAGGAAACGGACUGACUGCACUCAAUGGUUCCACAAGACUCCCUUGCAAUCAAAACACCCAUUGGAAAUGUCACCUGCACCAGGUGGAUAAAGGAGGCAGAUGGCUUCAAGCCUGCACCAAGGCUCAGCCAAUGGAGGUUUCAAUUGAUGCGGACUACACAGUGAAAUAAAGGGAAAGUCCUUCUCAAGCCACAACUGAGCCCAUGUCUUCUGGCAGCACCUGAGAGUUCUAAAGAGACAGGGGCCCAGAAGAGAAGCGCAGCUCAUCCUUCAUGUGACUAUUUAAGCUUGAACCAGGAAGGGUGACAACUGGGUGGCCACUGAGUUCCAUGGAUGGAAGCAGCACUGGGUCAUUGCUGUGGGACCCAGGAGAUGCUGGAAUUUCUUGGCCCUCUGUUGGACCCAAGCGCUGGCUUCUGCUUUCUGCCAGAACAAAACUUCUACUUCCCACCACUCUGCAGAGUCCCCAAGGCCGCCCUGGGCCAGAUGCUCCCCCAGAUGGUGAGCACAGGUGGACGGGGGCCACACCUGGCCAUGAGCUUCCAAUCAAGGACUGGGGACCAAGACAGGGGCCACGCAGCCGGGAGGCUCCAUCGCUCUGGAAGUCAUGGCAGGAGGGACAGUUGGUUAGAAGAACUUGAACUGGAAGCAAGCGAGACUGCAGGGGCAGCAAGGAGGGCUGCAGAGCUGCCAAGCCCUCCACAAUACAGCGAGUGCUUGAAUAACAGAAAAGACAAACCAGGCGCUCCAUGAGAUGCUCCAAGCCUGCAGGAACUCUGCGUGCCUGGGGAAAAGGCUCUUUGUGAAGAAAUUGAUAAUUUUCUCCCAGACUGCUGGUGCCCGAAUCAGGAAGCGCUGCAGGAAGGCACAGAUCGGUUCCCUCUGGCUUUGCACGUACCAAGGGGGAUGGUGAUGUCCCUGGGUCCCUGUGGACAGCAAGAGGUUCCCCUAAGGUGAUAGAGUCACCUUGGAGAGGGUGCCAUUUAAGAAGAAAAAUACCCAUCUAGAAGACAGUGAGGAUCUCAGGGCUCAGAUCUCCACAAGGCUUCCUUAUUGCAGUGGCAGAAUUAAAAGGUAGAAGGGUGUCAAGAAGUGUGGCCCCCUCCUUGCCCCUCCACGGAGGCCACAGUAGAAGCUGGCAAGCACCGCUCAGGACAGGGAUGCGCAUCUGGACACACCUAGCCCAGGGCCCAGAGGUGUCCCAACUCUUCCGGCUCCAGCCUUCCGGUAUGCUGACCUCCAGCCCAGCUGGCCCAGCUCCACCAACAGUUCAGCCCCUGCCUGCGAGACCUUUCUCCUGAGACCUGUGUGUGUGUGUGUGUGUGUGUGUGUGUGCGUGUGCGCGCGUGUGCGCGCACUGUCUGGGCCUCUGUUCCAUCGCCUAUCCUGGCCUCUCACCAGGGUCUGAAGAGGCAUGUGUGUACAGCGUUUUCAAAUAAUCUGGAUUUUUUUAAAAAAAUAAUAAAACUGUUUUUUUAUUGCUGUUCCCAGCCCACCUAGCGCCAGCUGUGAUGAGAAUCACUUGUAUGGUAAAGUGCUAUUGAUGAAAUUGCUCC